This 4788-nucleotide long non-coding RNA is filed under the name Canis lupus familiaris (dog). RNAcentral's name for it is "lncRNA (ENSCAFG00845007977.1)". The record is from RNAcentral. Lineage: Eukaryota; Metazoa; Chordata; Mammalia; Carnivora; Canidae.
UUUUUUUUUUCCUUUGCUUUUCACAAGUCCAAAUCUCUGAGACUGACAAAACUGUCUAGUUAAAAUUCUCUCUCUCUCUCUCUCUCUCUCUCUCUCUCUUUCUCAACCUCUCUCAAUGACAUAGUAAAUUAACUUCCUUCCACCAUUUCCCCCAUCCUGGUUUUGCAGUGCACAAGAGGUCAUAGGCAGCCAUUCUAUGUCAAUGCAUGUACAACUUAAGUGUUAAAGAGUACUGCUUAAACUUGAGCUAGGAUGGUAUUCAAUGGUAAAUAAUAGCUGUGGUUGCCAUUCUUGGGGCCCUUCCUUUCUGCCAGGCGUGACACUGAUAUCCUGCAGUAUCACAUUUAAUCCUCACAAAACUCCUAAAAGCUAGGGAGUUUGUCCCCAAGUAUGAGAAUCCCAAAGCUCAGAGAGCAAAACAACUUGUCCCCAAACACACAGCCACUGAAGCAGUAGAACUGGCAUCUAUCCUGAGUCCAGCUGAUCCCAAAGCCUGUGCGCUUGACCGGACUGAAUGUUUCAGCUGAACUCAGGGGCCAGGGUGGAGACCAGCAGACGUGGAGAAUAAAUAAAUGAACAAACAGAGAAACAGAGCAGGAAGAAAGCAGUAAGUCAGAGGGAAACAUCUGGUAGGAAAUCAGCGAGGAGUGGAAGAGCUGGAGAGAGAAUUCACUGGAGAAUGUGAGAAAUGAAGACAAGUGAAUUUGAAGAGAAAAUGGCUAAAGCAGCUGCAACAAAACAGCCAGGGCUCCUGUGGAACAGCACAAGAAGGCUUCUCACUCUGGAGGUGGGACAGGAGUAAUGUGCGGACACCUGGCAAGAGGGGCCUAGCUUCCUCAGAGACAGAGAGCAGCAGGUGAAGAAGAGGAGGAGGAAGGUGGAGAGACAGGCCAGAAGGAGAACACGGGGCUUGGAUGACAGACAGACACGUCAGGUUGCGGGCUUCUCUGAGGCUCAUCUCCCGCAUGACAAUUGUCCUAAGGAUUGAGCCCCUCUUCUCACCCCUGCAUACAGACCAACCCCAGGAGAACACAGAAGUCUCUAGUCACAGAAGAGCCACUCAACAAACACUUCCUGCACUGAAAAAGGAGAUUGUUAGGAGUUGCUUUGAGGGGCCUAAUUAUGUCGAUGCUGGUCACUUUCAAGAAAGGAGGGACUUCAGAGAGGUAAGAGGUCAGGACUGCUGCCCACAAUUCUACGAAAAAUGUCAGUUAUAAAUAAGCAAAGAGCAAGACAUGAUGUCCUUCUGCUAGACAUGCCCUUGCCCAGAGAAGCUUCAGAAAAUGUCACCCAGUCAUACCUGUCUUGCUUCCUUACUAGAGUGUGUCCUUCCACCUGCCACCCCCAUGUGCUGUGCCCCCCAUCCUCACUCCCACACCAGACAGAGCCCCAUCUCCCUUCCAGGCCUCACUCCGGGAAUACAGUUUUCCUCAGUGCUUUCUAGAACAAUCUGAUUCCCCCGUUCACUCCUCCUUGCUCUGAAUUCUGGUAUGAUGAGUCACACUAAAUUGUUUUCUGAUUGUUACAGGUAUGGAUGCCUUCUCUUUUGAACUGAAACCCAGGUCUUUGACUAUAGAAAUUAUAUUUUCUCUCUUUUUUCUCUACUGCAUUUUCUUAGAGUGGGCCUGGGCCAAAGCUGAGGCUAGUUUUAUGCUGUGAAUGAGGAGAUAGAUAAAUACAUAAAUGCAUAAGACUUUUAGAAUAGAAUUUGGCAGGUAGAAAAACCAUAUAAGUGCUGGUUGUUGUUGUUAUUGUUAUUUUUCUUUAACAGCUACAGUGUCUUGCCUGGUACAUAGUUGACACUCAGAAAAUAGGACUUGAGUGUUGCUCCAAAAUCCAUUAACACAUAAGCAAUGCCCCUAAAAUACACAAUAUGGCUUCUCCAGAAGGCUUAAUUUUUAUGAGCUUUCAUUUCUAAAGUCUCUGGGAAUAAAUAUUCUAUAUUGCUAUAAAUUCUCUCUUUUCUAAAAUAAAUAGGAAGCAAUUCAGAAGCAUAGUUAGGUCACACAUUAAAAAUAAGUGAGAAUGAGUACAAUCCAGCUGAGUUGCCACCAAAAAAGCCUAUUGAGGUCUAAGUUCCACCCCUCACCCAGGACUAAGAUUCUGUGAGGGAAGACUCUCUGGCCUUUGGAGACUUCUAGCAAGAGUUGGCGUUCAUGUGGAUCUCCUCAUCCAUGGAUACCAGGUCACCAUGCAGUGAUCCCUUUGAAUGAUUAGGAACCAGGCAAAGGAUUUCCUCUUAUCUUUUCCACUGUGAUUCCCCAUAAAGAUGCAAAAAUGAAGCAAAAAGGAACUCCCAGUUCUUUGGCACCAAUCAUGCCUGUAAUUCUGGGAUGAUGCCCAUUAGGCUUUUGGAGGGCAGCAACUCUCAUAACAAUGCCUGUGCAGGAAUACAGCACCACCCUGGGCCCCUUGCUCUCAACCUGCACCCUCCCUGGGCACUCACUGCGCCAACAAGCCCAUGGGAAGGCUCGUGAGGAGGCAGUUUCAUGGGUGACUAGUCAUGCCGUGGUCAAUCAGAGGCAUCAAUCGUAGCUCUCAACCCAGCUGCCUCUCCAAUUAAUGCAAAGCUGUUUAGUUAGCGCCUUGAGAGUUGGGACCGAGAAGCUGCCUCAAAGAAUAUUCUAUAAGGAUAAAAGCAAAACCUCUUUCCAUUUCUUAUCACGAGAUGUUUUCAUGUGUUUGUUUUCAUUUUUUAGGUUUAUCCAAAAAGGAAGAGGAUGGUAAUAAUCCCCUUCGCUCCAUCACAACUUUUAGAGAUGUUUAUCGAAGCCAAACCUCUCUUGACGUUUGCCAAUUGCUAAAUAGAAGUUAUUUUUCCUGCCAAAUAUACCCUCUCUUUUUCAGUGCUUAUAAAUAGAUUAUAUAUAAAUAGGAUGAGUUAAUGCUAUUCAUAUGAUGAAACGAAUUAAAAUAGAUGAACACAAAAUUGAGGUAAAACAGGGUUCUCUCAGAAUUUGUGGGAAAAGCAUCAGAGCAAGCCUUGUGCUAGAAUCCAGGGCAGCAGACAGUGGAGAGAGAAACCUAAUUUUAUCCUGCAAGGCCCAUUCUUGACUUCAGUAGCAAGUUUAAUAGAAGUCGUUUCUAUAUGGCCCCACAUAGGGUUGCCAGAUUGAGAAAAUAUGAAUAUGGAAAUAGUUGAAUUUCAAUGCCAAAUAAAUAACAAUUUCUUAGUAUAAGCAUGUUCUAAAUAUUGCAUGGGUCACACUUACACUAAAAAUUACUCAUUGUUUAUCUGGAACUUAAAUUAACCAGUUGGCCUAUAGUUUAUCUAGUAAUGCUAUUUCCAAAGAAUCGAAGUUGAUCCUAAGAAGAUGAGGAGUUAAGUCCUGUUGGUAAACUCACUCUAAGGUCAGCGUCUUCAUCUAAAUCAAUUAGGUUGGCAGAGACUUUGCUUGAAUUAUACACAAGUUCAGGACAUAGCCUUCACAACAUGGUCAGUGGGCAUCACCUUUGUAAAUUUUACCAUUUCAGCAAUUCUGGCCUUGUAUACCUGUAAUGCAUCCUUUAAAGUAGUGACCCACCACAUUUUAAACAGAAAAUAAUGUUUAGAAUGCCUUGAUUUUUGUGCCCAGCCUCCAUGCUGGGGUUUUAUAACUCUAGCUUAUUUAACCCUUGUAUCUCUGUGUAGUUCAUAUUCUCUACCAUCUAAUGAGUUGCAGAAAUCUGUCCAAGGUGACACAACUGAUAAAUGGAGAUGCCAGGAUGCAUAUCAAGGUCUAUCCUACCCCUCAGAUAUGUGUUCUUUAAUCUCACCAUUCAAAUCAACACUUUUUUUUCAAUUAUAAAUGUAUAAUGCACAGAGGGCUGAGAUGGAUACUGAGGAUUGGUCCAGGUUGAUGGUGGAAGAAGGCAAAAGACAAGGGAUUUGUGUACUAUUAAGAAGACAUGACAAACACAUUGAAAGAAAAAAAUAGAAGAUAGUAGAGAAGUGUCAAAGAGGUUCUCACUUGAAACUAGAAAGGCUUCUGGAUAUCAACUCAAUAUUAUUAAUAUCAAGCAUAAUUUAAUAAACACCUACUAUAUACCAGGCACAAGGUAAGCAUUACAACCUUACUAGUACAAAUGGAGGAAUGAGACAGAGACUAACUAGCUUGCCCAGAGAUGUCAAGUAGUAGACCUAGGAGAAUUGUGCCCCCAUUCCUAUGAUCCCUCCCACAAAAAUCCCAUACUCUGAACCAAUGGGUUGUGAUGGUUUGAUAUAUAUUCUUCUCAGAAAUGUACUUUAAAAGCAUCUCCUUUCUCCCCAUGAACUUCUCACAGCCUUCAGUUCACCUCAAAACACACACAAGAUUUACCUUCAUGGUCACCAUGGAGAUGUAAAAUUACUCCAACAAAGCCAAUGAACAGAUUUCAUUCAUCCAUACAUAACCUUGAUAUCAAGACAAAAAGGGUCACUGAAAAAAAGGAUUCAUUGCCACAAGGUCAAAAAAGAAAACAACCUCAAUUGCUUGUUUCCAUCCCAGGAGUGAGAAAAUAACUAACACCUGGAGCUCAUCAUGAGCUUUGAGAAAAGUGGAAGUGAGAGCCCCUUACAUUUGAGUCAAUUCAAUCACCAUCGAAUGAGUAUCCGAUUUGUACGCAGAACAAAGUGGCUGAAACAGGCCAGUUUGCCUCUGUCCGAAGUUCUGCUGCUCCAUGCCCAGAACAGAGACCAAAGAGAAAUGUGUCGGUAAGACAUAACAACUCUCUUGUCAGCUGUGCUCUGGGUAAAUCAAAGUGCUCUGGGUAAAUCAAAGUUCUCUGGUUGUAAGCAACAGAAACCAUCUUUGGCUAAUAUAACUCUCA